AUCUUGUAAGCUUUUUUCUUACCACAGUACAAUAAGACAUCUUUCAUUUGGAAGCCCUGAUUCCAAAACCACCUGUAUGGGUGAAACUGGUAUACUCAGCUGAAAAUAAUGAAAAUAAGCCAGGUCCAGUGGAGCUCCAUUUUACCAUUUGUUUGGUUGUUCCCACUAUUCCUACCAGAAAGAAAAAAAAGUUCCCCAUAUAUUUCCAGUCUCAGCUGACUUCUGUCCAGACCAUACUGUGUUGGUAAGACAAUGAAGACAGUGUUACCAUGGAUUCAAAAGGAAAAAGAAAGCAAACAAACAAAACAAAAAACAGAGCAAUACAUUAACUCAUGUAACUCGUAUCCAUGUACGUUCAUGGAGGAAGAAAAAGGGAAGAGGUAAACUAGAAAAGGAGUAAAAGGAAGAACCUGCAGGACUGCAAGACAUUGGUCUCAUAAAAAAUUCAAGCAAGGCACUGCAGUCUGGUUUUAUCAGUAGAGGAAAGCUCUCUGACCUUCUCAGCUCACAGUGCCCCCUUCCUGGUGCAGAAUCAAGUCCUC
RNAcentral lists this long non-coding RNA (542 nucleotides) under Anas platyrhynchos platyrhynchos (common mallard). Its description in RNAcentral is "lncRNA (ENSAPLG00000027422.1)". Lineage: Eukaryota; Metazoa; Chordata; Aves; Anseriformes; Anatidae. The record is from RNAcentral.